UGGGGAAUAUUGGACAAUGGGCGCAAGCCUGAUCCAGCCAUGCCGCGUGAGUGAUGAAGGCCCUAGGGUUGUAAAGCUCUUUCACCGGUGAAGAUAAUGACGGUAACCGGAGAAGAAGCCCCGGCUAACUUCGUGCCAGCAGCCGCGGUAAUGCGAAGGGGGCUAGCGUUGUUCGGAUUUACUGGGCGUAAAGCGCACGUAGGCGGACUUUUAAGUCAGGGGUGAAAUCCCGGGGCUCAACCCCGGAACUGCCUUUGAUACUGGAAGUCUUGAGUAUGGUAGAGGUGAGUGGAAUUCCGAGUGUAGAGGUGAAAUUCGUAGAUAUUCGGAGGAACACCAGUGGCGAAGGCGGCUCACUGGACCAUUACUGACGCUGAGGUGCGAAAGCGUGGGGAGCAAACAGG
This 404-nucleotide ribosomal RNA is filed under the name Actinomycetes bacterium. RNAcentral's name for it is "Actinobacteria bacterium partial 16S ribosomal RNA". It matches the Rfam family "Bacterial small subunit ribosomal RNA", at positions 355 to 776 of the family's 1533-position model. The record is from RNAcentral. Lineage: Bacteria; Bacillati; Actinomycetota; Actinomycetes. RNAcentral also lists the same sequence under 1 other name.